This 228-nucleotide ribosomal RNA is filed under the name uncultured bacterium. RNAcentral's name for it is "partial 16S ribosomal RNA". It matches the Rfam family "Bacterial small subunit ribosomal RNA", at positions 568 to 795 of the family's 1533-position model. The record is from RNAcentral.
UGCGUAGGCGGAUUGAUAAGUCAGUGGUGAAAACCUUCAGCUUAACUGGAGACUUGCCAUUGAUACUGUUAGUCUUGAGUACGGUCAAGGUAGGCGGAAUGUGUAAUGUAGCGGUGAAAUGCUUAGAUAUUACACAGAACACCGAUUGCGAAGGCAGCUUACUGGGCCAUUACUGACGCUGAGGCACGAAAGCGUGGGGAGCGAACAGGAUUAGAUACCCUGGUAGUC